CACGUGGGAAACCUGCCCAGAAGCGGGGGAUAACACCUGGAAACAGAUGCUAAUACCGCAUAACAACUUGGACCGCAUGGUCCGAGCUUGAAAGAUGGCUUCGGCUAUCACUUUUGGAUGGUCCCGCGGCGUAUUAGCUAGAUGGUGGGGUAACGGCUCACCAUGGCAAUGAUACGUAGCCGACCUGAGAGGGUAAUCGGCCACAUUGGGACUGAGACACGGCCCAAACUCCUACGGGAGGCAGCAGUAGGGAAUCUUCCACAAUGGACGAAAGUCUGAUGGAGCAACGCCGCGUGAGUGAAGAAGGGUUUCGGCUCGUAAAACUCUGUUGUUAAAGAAGAACAUAUCUGAGAGUAACUGUUCAGGUAUUGACGGUAUUUAACCAGAAAGCCACGGCUAACUACGUGCCAGCAGCCGCGGUAAUACGUAGGUGGCAAGCGUUGUCCGGAUUUAUUGGGCGUAAAGCGAGCGCAGGCGGUUUUUUAAGUCUGAUGUGAAAGCCUUCGGCUCAACCGAAGAAGUGCAUCGGAAACUGGGAAACUUGAGUGCAGAAGAGGACAGUGGAACUCCAUGUGUAGCGGUGAAAUGCGUAGAUAUAUGGAAGAACACCAGUGGCGAAGGCGGCUGUCUGGUCUGUAACUGACGCUGAGGCUCGAAAGUAUGGGUAGCAAACAGGAUUAGAUACCCUGGUAGUCCAUACCGUAAACGAUGAAUGCUAAGUGUUGGAGGGUUUCCGCCCUUCAGUGCUGCAGCUAACGCAUUAAGCAUUCCGCCUGGGGAGUACGGCCGCAAGGCUGAAACUCAAAGGAAUUGACGGGGGCCCGCACAAGCGG
Molecule: ribosomal RNA, 833 nt
Filed under: Lactiplantibacillus plantarum
Lineage: Bacteria; Bacillati; Bacillota; Bacilli; Lactobacillales; Lactobacillaceae
Description: bacterial SSU rRNA
Rfam family: Bacterial small subunit ribosomal RNA
Source: RNAcentral